CCGUGCUAGGUGGGGAGCCAGCGGUGCCCUGCACCUGCAAUCCGCUACAGCAGGACCGAACGCCGCCUUCGGCGCAGGUCGUGGAAGGCAAGUUGCGUGUAAGUGACGUUGACCUCAGGGUCUUGUGCAACGCUCUACUGUGAACCGUGUCAGGGCCUGACCGCAGCAGCACUAAGCAGAUCUUUGCGUGUGCCACAAGUGAGCUUUGAGCGAGUUAACUGCCCGCGAGACUCUUCG
Molecule: signal recognition particle RNA, 237 nt
Filed under: Candidatus Protoclostridium gallicola
Lineage: Bacteria; Bacillati; Bacillota; Clostridia
Also listed under: 1 other name
Description: Bacterial large signal recognition particle RNA
Rfam family: Bacterial large signal recognition particle RNA
About the family: The signal recognition particle (SRP) is a universally conserved ribonucleoprotein involved in the co-translational targeting of proteins to membranes.
Source: RNAcentral